RNAcentral lists this long non-coding RNA (22051 nucleotides) under Lactuca sativa (garden lettuce). Its description in RNAcentral is "long non-coding RNA (LSAT_LNC003247)". The record is from RNAcentral. Lineage: Eukaryota; Viridiplantae; Streptophyta; Magnoliopsida; Asterales; Asteraceae.
UUAAAGACUAUGACUGCGAGAUACUUUACCACCCCGGUAAAGCUAAUGUUGUUGCUGAUGCUCUCAGUCGGAAAGUCAAUCUUGAAAGGAAGAGGCCAAGAGCGUUGAGAAUUGAAGUUGUCUCGACUAUUGUGGAAAGUAUAAAGAAAGCUCAAGAGGAAGCUUCUGAGAAAAAUGACCGAAAGGAGGAACGUUUGGGUAAAACGUUGGUGUUUGGUACUAACGGUCAUGGACUGAAGGUAUUCCAAGAUCGUAUUUGGGUACCUAAGUCAGGAGGAAUUAGGGAUCUUCUGAUGGAAGAAGCUCACAAAACCAUGUACUCAAUUCAUCCGGGUAGCACUAAAAUGUAUAGGGACCUGAAACCCUACUACUGGUGGCCGACGAUGAAGCUUGAUGUUGCAAAGUAUGUGGCCGAGUGUGUGACUUGUGCGAGAGUCAAGACACAACAUCAGAAACCUUACGGGAGUUUAGAACCAUUGCCUGUGCCUAUGGGUAAGUGGGAAGACAUUGCUAUGGAUUUUGUCACUAAACUGCCCAGAACAAAGAAUGGUCACGACAUGAUUUGGGUGGUCGUUGAUCGAUUCACUAAGAGUGCGCAUUUCAUAGCGGCCAGGGAGAAAUGGUCUAUGGAAAAGCUUGCGAAUUCUUACGUGAAGGAAAUUGUGAGGCUUCACGGUGUUCCGUUAACGAUUGUAUCGGAUCGUGAUAUCCGUUUCACCUCGAGGUUUUGGAAAAGUCUACAAGAGGAAUUGGGUACCAAGUUGAGUUUGUGUACAACAUACCAUCCACAGACUGAUGGUCAGAGCGAACGGACAAUACAAACACUUGAAGAUAUGCUGAGAUCAUGUACCCUGGAAUUCCAAGGUAACUGGGAUGAACAUUUACCUUUGGUAGAAUUUUCCUACAAUAAUAGUUUCCACUCGAGCAUAAAGAUGUCACCUUAUCAAGCUUUAUAUGGACAGAAGUGUCGUACGCCGUCUUGUUGGCUUGAGGCUGGGGAAGAGCAGUUUAUGGGACCGGAGAUAGUCCAUCAAACUGCUGAAAAGUUGAAAAUAAUUAAGGAAAGAAUGUUAGCAGCUCAAGAUCGUCAAAAGAGCUAUGCUGACAACAAGCGAAGACCGAUGACUUUUGAAGUUGGAGAUUCAGUUUCGCUUAAAGUCUCGCCAUGGAAGGGACUUAUAAGAUUUGGUAAAAGGGGAAAAUUAAGUCCAAGGUUUAUUGGACCGUUUAAAGUCCUUUAGAGGAUUGGGAACCAAGCUUACAAGCUCGAACUACCAAAAGAGCUGAAUGGAAUUCAUAACACUGUCCAUGUGUGUUAUUUGAGGAAGUUCACGGGAGAAGUACCCGACAUGAUUCCACUUUCGGAGUUGAGAAUCGAUGAGAACAAAAGGUUGAUUGAAGAACCAGAGGCAAUCGAUGACCGAAAGACUAAGAAGUUGCGAUGCAAGAUGGUCGAGUCAGUGCCUGUCCGAUGGAAACACACGAAUGGGCCAAAUCUCACUUGGGAGACGGAGAGUGACAUGAUGAGUCGCUACCCGCAUUUGUUUGUAGAUGUGUGAUUUCGGCGACAGAAUCAUUCUAAGGUGGAGAGAACUGUGACGCCUGUGUUUCUGGGCUUGUCAUUAAUGUUGUUAUAAUAGUCUAGGUUAACCUUUGUAACCUGUUUUGAAAUAAUAGAAGUAUAUUAUUUGAGUAUUAUGUGUUUUGUGCUUAACUGUGCGACUUAAUUGAAUUAAGAAUAAAAAUAAGCGUCAAAAUGAAAUGUUAGAUAAGCUCGAUGUCUAUGGAUAAUGUCGUAGUAGUUGAAAUGAGGUUUCUGAAUAUAUAAAGAAUGCCGAAAUCUGAGUUAUAACGAAGAAGUUAUGACCUAUCGAAGUUUCGCGACAGAACCGGCAACGCUGAAUGACGCAAAAAGUGAAAUUUAUGUUAGAGCGAUAUUUAUCCUUAGUGAUCUAAAAGAAAGUCAUAGAGUUCGUUAAACCGAGAGCAUGCAUAAAAAUAACGCCCAAAUCUGACUUCGUGUGAGGAAGUUAUGAUUUUCCGAAGUUUCAGCUUAGCGGUAUGCAGCCUGAAUACUAGAUUUGAAACCAAGCAGUUUUUAGCCGAAACAAUCUAAACGAUAACCGAAGAUCUCGUUAAUUGUAGUGAAACGAUAAAAAGAUAGGCGAAAACGGACGUCGGAUGAAGAAGUUAUGAAUUUAUAACGGAGUUUUCAUGUCCCAGCCUACUAAAAAUAAAUUCAAAAUUAGCCGACGGAGUGUAAAUGAAAGUUCUAGAGCGUAGUCUCACCUACACGUGGAUAUAAAGAACAUCAAAAACGGAGUUCAUAUGAGGAAUAUAUGUAUUUUUGGAGUUUAUUAAAUAAUUAAUAUAUAAAUUUAAUUAUUAAAUCCGAUGUUAUUCGAAGGGGAGUCACCAGACUUAUCUGGGUUACGCCCAACGUAAGGUUGUACGCCCAGCGUACAGCGAAGCAUGAGGACCCUCGCACUCGAGUUCUUUGGAUACGUAAGCAGUGAAGAUUUCGGAGGAGUACGCCCCGCAUAGAGCAUUACGCCCAGCGUAAUGCGAGGCCUCUGCCUCCUAUAAAAGGGCAUGCGAGGGCAGCCUAAUUCUUUUGCCAAUUUCUUACUUUCUCUCUAGCUUUUGCCUCAAUUUGCGUGCCAAUUAUACCACGAAACCCCGGUAUCAUUCCCGAGCCCCGAAGAUCCCGAGAAGUGCAAUUCUCGAGCCGAAGCUCUGCUCGCGAGAAGCCCGAUUUUUGUGAAGAUCUUCCAGAUCUACUGAAGAAUACUACUUCUGCAAGUCGUAGUGCUGUCCAAUCAUCUUCUGAUCAAGUGAUUGUGUAGUUACUUUCUUCUAACGCAUAAUUAUGAAGUAUUUUAUACGAAAUACGUGUUAUGUGUAUAUUUUUAUUGUUAUGGGUGUGAAUGUAUAUUCACUCUCUUCUAUCACAUAGAUCUGAUUUAUUCUCUAUGAAAUACGUGUUAUGUGGGUGUGCCUCAUAUGUUAUGUGGAAUAUGUAUUGAAUGAGAAUGAUAUACAGGUUUUAAACUAUGUAUAAAAAUAUAUAUUUUUAUCUACUAAUAUGUUGGAUAGAACAUGGGUAGCUAGUUGAUGUGUGAUAAACAGAUGAGAGGCCUCGAUGUUGUUGUUGUUGAUCUAGUUAUUCAGCGGAGUAUGGAUAACGACCACAGACUCUUUCUAGAUAGUCCAGUGGAAUGAUAGCAGGUUCAUAACGUGUAGGUGUUCUGAACGAUGUGUUCACCGGUGUACUCUAUCCCCCUCAUAGUUGCCUUUAGGAUAUCUAUUGUUGAGGAAACCCCUUAGUAGUAAUGUCCGUCCCGAUGAAAAUCCUAGAUUAGGUCCCUUUAGAUAGAUGUUGUUUUAGGGACAUAAAGUGAGGAUAACGGGAAUGGGUAAUCGGGUUAUUGUUAGUUGGUGAAAAUAAAUAUAAUUAUUUAUUGUGGGUUGAAAACCCUAUAUGCUCACCAGGCUCCCAAGCCUGACCCACUUAGUUUAUGCUUUAUGGUCUGUAUCGGAACAUGACAUCCCGAGUUUUGAUUAUAUAAUGAAAACGCAUCUCUUGAUGAAAUGCUUUGAUAAAUGUUAUCUUAUCACAUUUUGUUUUUGAGAACAAAUUCCGAAACUCUUUUAAAUCAAAAGGAUUUACUCUGAAAUUAUUUUAAAAAACAUAAAUGAAACCAGUCUUUUCUGGCCGUGAUUUUGGGGAUGUCACAAGCAAGGUCAAGUUCGCUGCUUGCACCUUUGAGGCAAAAGCCCUGACGUGGUGGAAUAGCCAUGUCAAGUCACUAUCUCUAGUGGUGGCUAACAUUAUAGGAUGGGAAGCUCUUAGACAGCUGAUGAUUGAGGAAUAAUGCCCGAGGGGCGAGAUCUAGAAAUUAGAAGAGGAACUAUGGAGCCUAACCAUGAAGGGCUCCGACAUAGUUUUCUAUACCGCCAGGUUCAGCGAGAUGGUGGCCCUAUGUCCCAAUAUGGUUCAUACAGAGGGAAAGAAUAUAGAGAGGUACAUCUGGGGGCUGGUGCCUCCAUUUCAGGGGAAUGUUUUAGCUUCAAACCCCACUACAUUCGAUAGUCCCAAGCAGUUGGCACAGCGGCUCAUUGACCAUGGGGUUCGUACCCCAAGCGCAACAACGACCCUAGCCAUCUCAGAACCCUCCAAAACCGCUGAAUCCAAGCAGAAUUUCUGGGAUGACAAGAAGAAGAAGAAGGCUGCCAAAAAGCAGCAGGUCGUGGUAGUUCAUGCUGCGAUAGCACCUGCCGCUGCUGCUCCGGUAAAGCAGUACGUUGGAAGUUUGCCCAAGGGCAACAAAUGCAACUUCCACCACAUCGGUGCCUGCCGGGAAAUGCAGUGUUCAAACUGCAACAGGAAGGGGCACACAACCCGUUUCUGCAAAGCACCGACGAGGCCAAUCAACCAAGUCCCCGGGGCAGGAGUGGGCCAAGCUUGCUACGGUUGUGGCGAGGCGGGCCACUACAAGAGGAACUUACCUGAGGCAGGGAAUGCCGGUGGAGUAGGAAGAGUUCUGGAAAUAGGCCUCGAGGAAGCGGUUGCCGACCCCACAUUGGUCACUGGUACGUUCCACCUCAAUAACUCUUAUGCAUGCAAACUAUUUGAUAGUGGAGCGGAGAGGAGUUUCAUGAACCAAAAAUUCUCUCAUUUACUUAAGCAAAAAUCACGAGCACUUAAAGAACCGUUCACUGUAGAAAUGGAUAAUGGGAAGACAGAGAGCACUAGCAGUAUAUACAUAGGGUGUACCCUAACUCUAGAUAGCCAUUCUUUUUCGAUCGACCUCAUGUCGGUCUCAAUUAAAAGUUUUGAUGUCAUUUUCGGCAUGGAUUGGUUGAGUCUUCGUCUUGCUGACAUCAUGUGUUAUGAAAAGGUUGUUUGCCUAAAUCUGCCGUCGGGCGAAACUCUAGAAAUCUAUGGCGACAAACCCAGUACUAACCUUCGUAUCAUCUCAAGCAUUCAAGCCCAGAAAUUCUUGCGAAAGGAAUGUCAUGUAUUCCUUGCUCAUGUGGUCAAUGUGAGCCAAGAAACGAAAGACAUUAAGAACAUUCCAGUAGUACGUGAUUUUCCCGACAUAUUUCCAGAAGAACUCCUAGGAUUACCUCCACAACGUCAAGUCAAGUUCAAGAUCGACUUUGUUCCAGGGGCUACCCCAUUAGCCAUAUCGCCUAAUCGUCUAGCACCUGCAGAGAUGCAAGAACUGUCUAGUUAACUUAACGAACUACUCAGCAAGGGAUUUAUAAGACCAAGCUUCUCACCCUAAGGAGCUCCAGUCUUAUUCGUCAAGAAGAAAGACGGAUCGUUUCGUAUGUACAUCGAGUACAGGGAGCUCAACAAACUGAUCAUCAAAAAUCGUUACCCUCUGCCUCGUAUAGACGAUUUAUUUGAUCAACUUCAAGGGGCAAACUUCUUUUCAAAAAUCGAUAUAAGAUUCAGAUAUCACUAACUACGAGUGCUAAGGGACGAUGUCCCGAAGACAGCCUUCCGAACUCGUUUUGGGCACUACGAAUUCGUAGUGAUGCCGUUUGGAUUAAAAAACGCGCCCGCAGUAUUCAUGGAUUUAAUGAAUACGGUGUGUCAUCCUUACUUGGAUCAGUUCGUCAUCGUCUUCAUCAAUUACAUACUUAUCUACUCUCGUAGUAAGGAGCAACAUAGUCAAAAUCUGCGACAAGUCUUAGAAACGCUACGUUCGUAGAAGCUCUAUGCGAAGUUCUCGAAAUGUGAAUUUUGGAUCCGUAGAUUCCAAUUCUUAGGGCACGUGGUUAGUGAAGAAGGAAUACACGUGGACCCUUCAAAAAUCAAAGCCAUUGAGAGCUGGUCAGCACUAAAGAUGCCUACCGAAAUUCGUCAAUUUCUAGGCCUCACUGGAUACUAUCGCAAGUUCAUUCAGAACUUCUCCUGAAUUGCGAAACCUCUUACAAAACUGACCCAGAAGGGUGUGGCCUUUGACUUGGAAGAGAAGCCGGAGAGAUCGUUCCAAACGCUCAAGCGAGCCUUGUGCACCGCACCAAUACUAUCCCUCCCCGAAGGGAGAGAAGACUUCGUUGUCUAUUGUGAUGUGUCAAAUCAAGAGCUCGGAUGUGUUCUGAUGCAACGAGGUAAGGUCAUCGCCUAUGCCUCAAGACAGCUGAAUACACACGAGGUCAAUUACACCACUCAUGAUCUUGAGCUAAGAGCAGUUGUGUUUGCUCUGAAGAUCUGGAGACACUACCUGUAUGGUACAAAAAGCACUAUCUUUACAGACCACAAAAGCCUACAACAUAUAUUCGACCAGAAGGAGCUCAACAUGAGACAACGAUGGUGGUUCGAGCUACUCAGUGAUUACGAAUGCGAAAUUCUUUAUCAUCCGGGUAAAGCCAACAUAGUAGCUGACGCCCUAAGUCGGAAAGAAUACUCUAGUCGUAGAGUCAAAUCAUUGACUAUGACUAUCCAUUCACACUUGUCCACGCAAAUUAAGGAGGCUCAGCUCGAGGCUUUGAAACCUGAAAAUGUGGCGAGUGAAUCCCUGACAGGGAUGGAUAAGAACAUGGAAGUCAAAGGUGGUGGAGCCUUAUAUUUCAUGGAUCGGAUCUGGACACCGAAGCACGGUGGUUUCAGAGACUUGGUCAUGACCGAGGCGCACAACACUCGUUAUUUCGUCCACCCAGGUUCUGAUAAGAUGUAUCUGGAUCUUAAAAAGCUAUACUUGUGGCCUAACAUGAAAGCAGAGAUUGCUACCUUCGUAAGUAAAUGCAUUACUUGCGCUAAAGUCAAGGUCGAAUACCAGAAACGCUCAGGUCUUCUACAACAGCCAGAGAUACCAGAAUAGAAGUGGGAGCAGAUCACUAUGUACUUCAUAACCAAGUUGCCGAAGACAACGGGUGGACUUGAUACCAUAUGGGUCAACGUCAACAGAUUGACCAAGUCCACAUACUUCCUGCCUAUCAAAGAAACAGACAAGAUGGAGAAGCUUACAAGAACCUACAUACGGGAGAUUGUACGACUGCACGGUGUUCCCAUAUCCAUUAUCUCGGACAGAGAUAGUAGAUUCACUUCGAGGUUAUGGCAGUUGCUACAAAGUUCCCAAGGAACUAGACUGGACAUGAGUACAACCUAUCCUCCACAGACCGAUGGACAAAGUGAGAGGACUAUCCAAACCUUGGAAGAUAUGUUGCGAGCCUAUGUGAUCAACUUUGGGAAAGCAUGGGAUACUUAUUUACCCCUUGUCUAAUUUUCCUACAACAACAGUUAUCACACGAGCAUAAAGGCCGCUCCAUUCAAGGCCCUCUAUGGCCGAAAGUGCACAUCCCUUCUGUGUUGGGCUGAGGUGGGUGAUACCCAGUUAGCUAAAGGACGAGUUCCUGACAGCACUCUCACGGGUCCGGAGAUGAUACGGGAAAUGACAGAUAAGAUCGUUCAGAUUCGUGAACGAUUGAAAGCCUCUAGAGACCGACAGAAAAGCUACACAUAUAAAUGAAGGAAACCGUUGGAAUUCCAGGUGGGCGACCGUUUUCUAUUGAAGGUCUCACCCUGUAAAGUCUUGAUACGCUUCGGAAAGCAUGGAAAGCUAAAUCCAAGAUACAUAGGGCAUUUGAGAUUCUUGCUAGAAUCGGCCCGGUAGCUUACAAACUUAACUUAACUCGUGAACUCAGUAACAUACAUUCUAUUUUCCAUGUCUCGAACUUGAAAAAGUGUCGGUCCGACGAGACUCUUGUAAUCCCACUUGACGAGAUCGAGAUCAAGGAGAGUCUCAACUUCGUGGAAGAACCAGUAGAGAUCAUGGACCGAGAGGUCAAGCAAACAAAGCAAAGUCGUAUCCUGAUAGUGAAGGUUCGUUGGAGUGCCAAGCGAAGACCUGAAUUCACUUGGGAGCGAGAGGAUCAGAUGAAACUGAAACAUCCUCAUCUUUUUACUUAGUUAUUUGUAACUACUUAUUUGCUUAAACUUUAAUUUCGGGACGAAAUUCCUUCUAAUGGGGGGAUGAUGUGACAACCCGAAAUUUUCAUUUGUACGAACUCUAUAGUCAAACACUUCAAUUAAAAGUCAAAUUCAUUUCUGCUAAUUUUCAGCUCGGUUUAAAGGCCGAUUGGGUAUUUUUAAAUAUUUAUUCUUUGAAAGGAUAAACGAAAGGAAGUAUACUUUAGGAUUAUUUUUUCAACAUUUAUGUCUCAAAACUCCAAGAGUUAGGAUUUAUCAGCCCAAAUAGUGUUUGGACCGAAAACCCUAAAGGGUAUAUAAAUGACACUUAGUCAUUUUUACCAUUCUUUUCCAUUUUCCAAGUCAAGAACAAUUCUCUCUCAAGUAUUAUCCAAAGAUUUUUCGAGAUCUUCAAGAUUGUAAGUGUUUCCUUCCUUGUUUAGUUGAUCUUUUCCAUUAUCUAGUGAUCUUACAUGAUUUCAUCCGUGAAAUCAUUCGAUUUUCUUAGAUCUUCAAGUGUUCUUCAAGAACACCAAGAACACACACUAGUGUUUUGGGCCGAAAACACCCUUCUUUGCUUCCAUAUUGUAAGUAUCUAUCUCUUAUACUUGUUAUCUAGUAAGGAUACUUGUUUUUGAGCCUUGAAAUCAUCAUUUUUCCAAUAAAAAAAAGAGGUUUUCGGUUAGUGCAUCUCCUUAAACCGAAAACCCUAAAGAAAGGUGCCUUUAAGACAUUAAGCCUUUCCUAAGCUUAGUAUUGAGUCUAGAACACUUCUUUGCUUGUUGAAAGCCCUUGUAAAUCACCUUAUGCAUCAAAUAUCAGGAGUUUUCGGGCAACCAUUUGGACCGAAAACCUCUUUGGACCGAACACCAUAUGGACCGAAAACCACAAGAAACAUACCACUUGAACCGAAAACUCCCUUAAGUGGCUAUACAACCCUUAGAUGCAACCCUUGGUACUUCUACCACUUGAAUCAAAGUGUUUUCCAUGUCCUAGGGUGUCUUAACUUGGUUAAUUAAUUGUUAAAUGAUUAAUUGGAUACAUAUAUGUAUUAUUAUAUGUUAUAUAGGAUUCGUGUGUGUGCUCAAGUCUUCACUUGACACUUAGCAUCCUAUACAAUCCGUUCUUCCAAACCACUCACUACAGGUGAGUUCAGACCCUAAUCUAUCUUUUAAAUGAUUUUAAAUGAUUUUAUGGGGGGAAUACAAGUUGAAACAUUAUAGUUAUUAUAUCAAUCACAUGUGAUUAAUACCUAUCAAACCAAGGAUUUGUUAUUCAAUUAGUUGUUUUAUCAAACAAAGCUAAUUCAAUGGUAAUCAAAUGCUUUUACAUGUUAAAUACUUUUUAUUCAAACUCUUUUAAACUUAUACUUUGUCAAAUGCAUAUCUAUAUAGAUAUAGUUAUAUAAGUAGGAUUAAAAAGACUUAGGACUGAUAGCUCGCCUUGCUUCCUGUUCCUUGUUUGGUUGUGGACUAAGGGUAUCGGUUAUUUGUCCGAAAGUCAUUUUAAUCUUAGUUAUAUAUUAUGUAUAUGUGUAUAGAUAUAAAGUUCCUUCAUUCAGUUCAAUACCUUUGGGUAGCAAAGGUAUAUAAACAUGUUCAUACAUACAAACAACAUUGCUAGUAAACUAUAAUAGGUACAGUUUAGGAAGUUACAAUACUAUUACUAGAACAAUGAAACUAAAAAUGAGUCAGUUCAUAGAUGAGUCAACACAUACUAUAACAAGAAACAUAUAUAGAAUACUAUGAUGAGAAACAAGUAAUAACAUACAGAGAGAACAUACAUACAUACUAGACAGAGAGAGAAUAUACAAUACAGCUAGUACAUACUAUACAUUAUACAAGAGAACAUACUAUUAUGAGAAACAGAGAAAACAUACACACAUACUAAACAGAUGGAGAACAUAAAAUACAGAUAGUACAUACAAUACAUAUACAAGAACAUUACAACAGUUAUGUGAGCCACGUAAGGGAGCAAGGCAUCACCUGUCAUGGCUCGUUUUCUAUCCAGAAUCUCCUUAAGUGGAGAGCGUUGAGUUUGUGUAUAGAUCUGUACUAGAUUGACUAUCCUACACCUUGCUGUUCGCUACAGUGGGACUUGCAAGUCUACGGGUGCCAAAUGUCAUUUCUUCCGACGUCUUUCAUCGUCGUGUUUUUAGUUAGUAGUAAGGUACAGGCAUAUCACAUGGUACUUUAAUUAACAAUUGGAUUAAGGUAGUUAGUACAGCAGUAGUUACCUAAUACAACACUACAGUACUAUUUUAUUUCCCCAUUGCAUUCACUUGUGUUAUUCUCACAAUGAACAGUAAUGUAAAAAAUAUAAUUUUGGUUAAUGAUAGUCAGAAUUGGGAAAAUACAUACUCUUACAAGAGGUAUUCAUACAAACAUUUGAUGCCUUGGUAGAAGGCUACUUUUACUAGAAAACAUAGGGUUUUCUAGGAGAAUUCAAACAUUUACAAACUUAUACAUCAAGUACAUACAAACACUUUCAUACAAACAAUGACACUAAAAUACUUAUGAUCUCACCAGCUUUAAAGUUGAUCAACUCUUUCAAAAUAACUUGUAUUCUCAUGUCAUCAGUAGACAGAUACCGAUGCCAGGCUUUUGAGAAGAUGGAGCUCAUUCAGGACUAAUCUCAUAUUUUGAUUUACUUUUUGGUGUCUAUUAAACUUAACAGAACACACUUGUAUGAAAUUAUACUAUUAAUGCAAUGGAUGAUGUUGUUGCUUGAUUACUACUAUGCAUUGUUGUGAUAAUGAACAUGACGUCCUCGGCCCCUAAACGUUUCCGUCCUUUCGGUUUUGUGGUGUGACAAGGAUCACAAACGAGAUGUAAAUAACCAUGCAAAAUUGCUUGGCACUCUCGAUGUUAUUUAUCAUCUCGUUUUAAUGUUCCGGUUAACCACACACGCUCCAUUAAUCAACGAUAAUUUCGAGAUACCCACUACCACUCUUUAUUACUCCCUCCUUAGUGUGCUGGUUAACCCCACACGCUCUAGUAACGACAUAUAAAGUGUCAUAUGUAAUUUCAUGGAUUAGCAUAUAAAUUCAUAUUUUCCUAAAGUAAGUAAGAGUGGGAUUAUUAGAAAAUAGUUUAGUUACUUUAUGUCAUUAUACUUGUUAAUGAGAUAAUGUCCUAUCAAAUUCGUUCGGCUAACGACCCUCCACCAUACAAGACAGCGGUGAGUAAGAGUGUAUAUCCAAUGACGUUCAUUUUAUAGGCCGCUUCUUAAACUCCUUUUAUAGUAUGGCUUCGUGAAUCAGGCGUACUGGCGAUUUUGCUGACUAUUCUUACACGUAUAAUAUAUAUUAAACUUUUAAUUAUAUACACAUAGUAUAAGGUGUAUUUUAAAACAUUUUUAAAAUAGCAAGGGUUUAAUCUUUUAAUAAAUUAAACUUUUAAUUUAAUUAAAUUUCAACCAUUUUAUGGAUUUAUUAAUUAUCUUUUAAUUAAUUACUUAGUUAAAUUAAUAAUAAGAUCCGUAUCGAUGUAUUUUAAACUUUUCAAAAUACCAAGUUUAUAAAAUAAACCAAAUAAUAUUUGACAUUAAUUAUUAAGUUUAAUUAAUAUAUACAUUUAUUAUUUAUACACUUAAAAGAUCAAUCAUAUUAAUCAACAAAACAAUUAAUCAAGUCAAAUACUUAUCUUCUAACUUCAAGGCUUUUAUUUUAUCAUCAUAGAUACACCAAAAUCGGAUUUGGAGGAUAAAUAUAGCAGAUAAUUACCAAACAAAAGCAAAUUUAGGCAGAAAAUCUUAAAAAAAUCGGACCUCAGCUUAGCUCAUGUCGUGAGUUGCGACAAAACCAAAAACAGGUUUCUUUUUCUUUCGAUCGAUUCACGAAUGUGCAAAUAUAUGAAAGAUAGCCAUAGGCUCUGAUACCACUAAUGAGUUAUUAGGGUUACAACUACAAUGCUCUAAGCAGAAAAGCAUUUAAACAAUUCAAAUGAUUAGGGAACAUGUAACCUAAUAGGAUUUAUGACUUUCACAUAUAGGAAACAUACUAUGAGUUAUUAUCCUACAAAACGUUUCUUUGAAAAACUAAUUCAUAAGAACAAGAAACUUACCUUGAAGAUUGUUAUAGAAAACAAUCUUGAAUCCUACUACAAAUACUUUUGGUAGCAAGCACCACAAGCGUCGUGCCUCUGAUGGUUCAUACCCAAACCCUAGCAACCAAGAAAUUUGAAGAGAGAGAGAGAGAGAGAGAGAGAGAGAGGAUAAGAUUAGAAUUUUCAGCCCUAAGCCUCUAAAUGAAACAUUUUUGAAAUUCUAAACCCUUAGAUGUUUAUAUAGGAAUCUAGGAAGGUAUUGGAUAAGGCAUGUAUCUCAAAGAUAACCCUAAUCCCUUAGCUUCCUCCCUAAGGCAUCCAAGGCACCCUUAAUGCCCAUGGAAACCCUGGAUACCAUUCUAGAAUUCGUCCCUUGCCUAGGGAGGUUCUAGAAUUGCUCAAUGAUCAACUUUUGAACAUUGUCACCUUUAGUCAUCCUCGUUCUUUUAAUUAGUCCGAUUAAUCCAAAAAUUAAUUCCAAUUAAUUUCUUCUUAAUUAUUAAUUAAAUAAUCCUAUUUCAAUUAAUAUAUUAUUCUCAUAAUAUAUAAACAAAUUAUUUAUUUUGAUUUCUAAUUAAUUUAUUAACCAUAUAAUAAAUUAAUAAAUCAAUCUCUCUAUAAAACCUAUCAUAUUCAAUAGUUAGGUUUGAGGGCAACCUAAAAGGACCAUGCUACCAUCAAUUUACGUUUAUACCAAUUAUAGUUAAUGGCUUAGACAUGUAAUCCAACAUAUGAAAAUUAGCAUAAAUCCACUGAACACUUGAACCUCUACCUUGGAUGAAAUCGAUGAUCACUGAGCUAAAAUCGAUUACAGUAUUGUAAUGAAUUGUUGAUGUCUAUAGAUGAGCAUAAACCUCAAUCACUCAUAUAGAAACAGACAAAAGAUUGAUUAGUGUGAAUCGAAUAUUAAUGAAUUUUGAUCGAUUAGCGUGAAUUGGUAGAAAGAAUCGAAGCAGCUAGGUUUUGUGAUGACGUGAAGAUAAUCCUAACAUUAUGUAUCAAAUCUGAUGAUCUAAAAUUUACCCUAGCCACUAAUUUAUCCCUAAUUACCUAAUCUUUUAUAUUAAUUAUUGUUAAUCAUGUUUUCUUAUUAGCUACAAGAUCAGUUUUGAUCUAAGUUUCAGAUUCGGUCCCCAUGUCUCACAAAAUAUUAGUGGUCUCAAAUAUAUAUANAUUUGAACAUUAAUUCAUUAAAUUCGGUUUGCAUUUAUUUAGUCAUAUCAAUUUCUUAUGAAUUUAUGUGUUUACCUUCAGCCAUGAGUAGUUAAUCUAGUUUACCUUUUUUAGCUAGAUGAAACCUUGAAACUAUGAGUUAGUUUACUAUUUAUUGGAUUUUAUAAAGUUUCCUUGGUGCUUGUGUUUGAUUAUCAUUACCUAGCAUGUUAAAGUUUGUAUCUUUAUUGCUUAAAUUCAAGUUUAGUGUAGCUUAGUGACCUAUUAAUACAUGGACUUGUUUACCUAGUAGUUUAGUGACCAUUAAAUUGCUUGAGAUAGGAGUGACCACAUCUUAGAUAAGUGAUAAAAGUAACAACUUUGUAUGUGUUGGAGAACAUAAUUAUGAUCAUAAUUGUGUUUGCUUAAUUGACUUAGAUAAAUCUUACAUAGCCCAAUUAUCGUUAAUAACUAAUUUUGUGUUUGCUUGUGUAGGACCAUUACAUAGUAGUACAUGAACUAGUGAAAAUAUUCGUAGAUUGGACCAAGAUUGCUAAUUACAUAAAAAUUGGUAACCAACUUUAUUAAUUCAUAAAUAAUAACUAACCAUAGGAUAAAGGUGGAUUAGAAACUAAAUGAAAGUGUUUUAAAUAUAUUGAUUAAAAUCGUUUUAGUUGAGUGUGUAAGUUAAUCUGAACUUGAAAAAUCAGAUAAAACCCUUUGUUAAUUAUUGCUUGCUUUUAUAUAUAUUUUUAGUAGUUAUUUUAAUAUAUUUAAUCCCCUCCUUGUUUUCGAUACCCAACUUACUUUACUAUACUGUAUACUGACUAGGUACAAUUUCUAUAGGUGCAUUAGUAUAUAAGUAGUUAGGUUAAAAUUUUAAUGCUAAAUACGUGAUAUAUUUUGCACACAUCAAGUUUUUGGCAUCAUUGUUGGGGAAUGACUAUUUCAGUUAUUAGUUAAUUGCUUUAGGUUAAUGGAUCCUUUUUAUGGGGAAAAACCUGCAAAAGUUACUUUUAGCAUUAGUUAAGUUUCUUGAAAUACUGAACUCACGACGUGAGAUCUGAUAUCUCAGAAUUUUAUUUCGUUUUUAUUUUUUUUUAUAAAUUUCAGUUCAUUUUUACAUUUUUGUUUCAGUAGUAGAUGAAUCGUGGAUCAAAGGCACCAUUGACACCACCAGUUGACGAUCCAGAGUCAAGUUUUUAUAAAAAGAAGGCAAGUACUUUUUGAGGAUCAAGCAGCAAGUCGAAAAACGAAAGCAUGUUCGAAAGUUUUGAGAAGACUCCUAACAAAAUGGAAGUUGGUUGCGACCCCGAAACAGAAAUAGACAAAAGUAGCGAACUUGAAAGCAAGCCCAAAAACAACAUGACGAACAUUGCUGACAUGACGAUGGAGGCAUACAAGAAGAGAAUAUGUGAGGACACCGGUCCAGGGCUUGUGUAACCUGCAAUUCCUGCUACCCCAACUUUCGAGCUAAAGGGACACAUCCUUUCGACACUAAAAGAUAUUCCAUUCUCCAGAAAAGAUCAUGAAGAUGCAUACAAGCACCUCGAUGAAGUUAAUGACGUCGUUGAUUAUUUCAAUAUUCUGAAUGUACCACGAGAAACUGUCUUGUUAAGAAUGCUUUUGGUUGCCUUCAAAGGAGUAGCAAAAGAUUGGCUAAAGGCACUCCUAACCAGUUCAAUCACCACAUGGGUGCAAAUGCAUGAAGAAUUUCUCCAACAAUUUUGCCUACCAUCAAAGGUUUCUAAACUCAAGAAAGCCAUAUCCAAUUUCGAGCAACAACUUGGGGAACCCUUAUAUGAAGCAUGGAAGAGGUAUAAGAGGUUACUAAGGAAUGUUCCCUAAAAUGAUCUAAACGGGCAACAAGAAGUCUCGAUUUUCUAUGAUGGGGUAAAACUAAUGGCAUGGCAACUCUCUGAUUCUCAAGGACCAUUAACCAAGAAGAAUCAUGCUAAAGUUAAGGAGCUAAUCAAAGAAUUUUCCAAGCAUUCAAGGGAGUACCACAACCCAAGACAAGACGGGGCUAGGGGAAUCGGAAAUAGUGCUUUAGAAGACAUGGCAGUUGUUUUGACAAUGUUGAGUAACAUGGAUCGAAGAAUGACGAAGAUGGACCAAUCCAUACAUGAAAUACAGGUAGGGUGUGAAAUUUGCAAUGAGCCAAAUUUGAUUAAGGAUUGCCAUUUAGACAAAAAAAAAAGGAAUUGGAAAGUGUAAUUUUGCUACUCUAGAGGAGUCUAAUAUUAUGAAGAUUGGAGAAAGUCAAAGAAAGAAUGGUUACCCUAUGAAGAGUAUAUGAUGUAACACCUGUGUUUCUGGGCUUGUCAUUAAUGUUGAUAUAAUAGUCUAGGUUAACCUUUGUAACCCGUUUUGAAAUAAUAGGAGUGUAUUAUUUGAGUAUUAUGUAUUUUGUGCUUAAUUGCUUAAUUAUGUGAUUUGAUUAAUUAAGAAUAAAAAUAAGCGUCAAAAUUUAAGUGUAAAAUAAACUCGAUUUGAGAUCGAGAGGUUUUUAGCCGAAACAAUCUAAACGAGAAUCGAAGAUCUCGUUGUUAGUAGCGAAACGAUGAAAAGUUAGGCGAGAACGGAUGCCGGAAGAAGAAGUUAUGAAUAUAUAACGAAGUUUUCAUGUCCCGGCCUACUAAAAAUAAAUAGUAAAAAUAAAAUCAAAAUUAGCCGACGGAGUCUAAACGAAAGUCGUAGAGCGUAGUCUCACCUACGUGUGGAUAUAAAGAACGUCGAAAAUGGAGUUCGUAUGAAGAAGAUAUGGAUUUUUGAAGUUUAUUAAAUAAUUAAAAUAUAUAAAUUUAAUCUUUAAUUCGGAUGUAUAUCCGAAGGAGUCACCGAUCUAAUCCGAAGUAUGCCCAGCAUACAGCGAAGCAUGACACGCCUCGCACUCGAGUUCUUCGGAUGACGCAUGCAGUGACGAAUUCGGACGCGUACACCCCGCGUACGGCUGUACGCCCAGCGUACUGCGAGGCUUCAGCCUCCUAUAAAUAGGAUGCGAGGGUUCCGGGCAUAUUUACUCAGUUCCUCUCUUUUUCAUGCCGAAGCUCUGCGUCUAAACCCCCGAAGCCAUCCUGACACCCCGGAUCUUAUAUCCAAGUUAAGAAGGAAGUUUUACGCUCCCGAGAUCCCAAGAGGUGCGAUUCCCGAGCCGAAGCUCUGCCCGCGAAGAGUUCGAUUUUUUUGUGAAGAUCUUCCAGAUCUACGGAGAAACACUACUUUUGCACGUCGUAAUGUUGUCUGAUCAUCUUCAAAAUCAAGUUAGUGUGUAGUUACUUUCUUCUAACGCAUAAUUAUGAAGUAUUUUAUACAAAAUACGUGUUAUGUGUAUAAUUUUGUUGUUAUGUGUGUGAAUUUAUAUUCACUCUCUUCUAUCUCAUAGAUCUGAUUUACUUUCUAUGAAAUACGUGUUAUGUGGGUGUGCCUCAUCUGUUAUGUGGAAUAUAUAUUGACUGAACAUGCUAUACAGGUUUUAAACUAUGCAUAAAAAUAUAUAUUUUUAUCUACUAAUAUGUUGGGUAGAACAUGGGUAGAUAGUUGAUGUGCGAUAAACGGAUGAGAGGCCUCGAUGUUGUUGUUGUUGAUAUAGUUAUUCAACGGAGUAUGGAUAAUGACCACGGACUCUUUCUAGACAAUCCAGUGGAAUNAGGCUUCAGCCUCCUAUAAAUAGGAUGCGAGGGUUCCGGGCAUAUUUACUCAGUUCCUCUCUUUUUCAUGCCGAAGCUCUGCGUCUAAACCCCCGAAGCCAUCCUGACACCCCGGAUCUUAUAUCCAAGUUAAGAAGGAAGUUUUACGCUCCCGAGAUCCCAAGAGGUGCGAUUCCCGAGCCGAAGCUCUGCCCGCGAAGAGUUCGAUUUUUUUGUGAAGAUCUUCCAGAUCUACGGAGAAACACUACUUUUGCACGUCGUAAUGUUGUCUGAUCAUCUUCAAAAUCAAGUUAGUGUGUAGUUACUUUCUUCUAACGCAUAAUUAUGAAGUAUUUUAUACAAAAUACGUGUUAUGUGUAUAAUUUUGUUGUUAUGUGUGUGAAUUUAUAUUCACUCUCUUCUAUCUCAUAGAUCUGAUUUACUUUCUAUGAAAUACGUGUUAUGUGGGUGUGCCUCAUCUGUUAUGUGGAAUAUAUAUUGAUUGAACAUGCUAUACAGGUUUUAAACUAUGCAUAAAAAUAUAUAUUUUUAUCUACUAAUAUGUUGGGUAGAACAUGGGUAGAUAGUUGAUGUGCGAUAAACGGAUGAGAGGCCUCGAUGUUGUUGUUGUUGAUAUAGUUAUUCAACGGAGUAUGGAUAAUGACCACGGACUCUUUCUAGACAAUCCAGUGGAAUGCUAGCUGGUUCAUAACCUGUAGGUGUUGUGAACGAUGUGUUCACCGGUGUACUCUAUCCCCCUCAUGGUUGACUUAGGAUAUCUAUUGUUGAGGAAACCCCUUAGCAGUAAUGUCCGUCCCGAUGAAAAUCCUAGAUUAGGUCCCUUAAGAUAGAUGUUGUUUUAGGGACAUAAAGUGAGGAUAACAGGAAUGGGUAAUCGGGUUAUCGUUGGUUGGUGAAAUUAAAUAUAAUUUAUUUAUUGUGGGUUGAAAACCCUAUAUGCUCACCAGGCUCCCAAGCCUGACCCACUUAGUUUUAUUUGUAUUACAGGAAAUGGCACAAGGGCAUAAGAUGGAUGAAUCAUCGAGUUGUUUUGUUUACAAGUCUGUAUAUGUAUAUAUUUGUUGAAUGACUUGUAAUGUUAUCGUUUAUGCUUUAUGGUCUGUAUCGGAACAUGACAUCCCGAGUUUUGAUUAUAUAAUGAAAAUGCAUCUCUUGAUGAAAUGCUUUGAUAAAUAUUAUUUUAUCAUAUUUUGUUUUGGGAACAAAUUCCGCAACUCUUUUAAAUCAAAAGGAUUUACUCUGAAAUUAUUUUAAAAAGCAUAAAUGAAANNNNNNNNNNNNNNNNNNNNNNNNNNNNNNNNNNNNNNNNNNNNNNNNNNNNNNNNNNNNNNNNNNNNNNNNNNNNNNNNNNNNNNNNNNNNNNNNNNNNNNNNNNNNNNNNNNNNNNNNNNNNNNNNNNNNNNNNNNNNNNNNNNNNNNNNNNNNNNNNNNNNNNNNNNNNNNNNNNNNNNNNNNNNNNNNNNNNNNNNNNNNNNNNNNNNNNNNNNNNNNNNNNNNNNNNNNNNNNNNNNNNNNNNNNNNNNNNNNNNNNNNNNNNNNNNNNNNNNNNNNNNNNNNNNNNNNNNNNNNNNNNNNNNNNNNNNNNNNNNNNNNNNNNNNNNNNNNNNNNNNNNNNNNNNNNNNNNNNNNNNNNNNNNNNNNNNNNNNNNNNNNNNNNNNNNNNNNNNNNNNNNNNNNNNNNNNNNNNNNNNNNNNNNNNNNNNNNNNNNNNNNNNNNNNNNNNNNNNNNNNNNNNNNNNNNNNNNNNNNNNNNNNNNNNNNNNNNNNNNNNNNNNNNNNNNNNNNNNNNNNNNNNNNNNNNNNNNNNNNNNNNNNNNNNNNNNNNNNNNNNNNNNNNNNNNNNNNNNNNNNNNNNNNNNNNNNNNNNNNNNNNNNNNNNNNNNNNNNNNNNNNNNNNNNNNNNNNNNNNNNNNNNNNNNNNNNNNNNNNNNNNNNNNNNNNNNNNNNNNNNNNNNNNNNNNNNNNNNNNNNNNNNNNNNNNNNNNNNNNNNNNNNNNNNNNNNNNNNNNNNNNNNNNNNNNNNNNNNNNNNNNNNNNNNNNNNNNNNNNNNNNNNNNNNNNNNNNNNNNNNNNNNNNNNNNNNNNNNNNNNNNNNNNNNNNNNNNNNNNNNNNNNNNNNNNAUGGAUUGGAUCUCCGAAAUGGAGAUGGUAUUUGAAAGUUGCGACUGUAGCAACAAACAGAAGACUGUCUUUGCAGUUAGACAACUGAAGACUGGAGUCUUGAGUUGGUGGAAGUUGUUGGCAGAUACUAUGCCACGAGGAGAAGCCCUGAAAAUGUCAUGGGAGGAGUUCUUGGAACAGUUAAGGGUACAGUAUUGUUCAGAGAUAGAUCUGAUUGAUCUGAACAAUGAGUUCCAAAACUUGAAGAAGGGGAGGAUGAGCAUAGAUGACUAUGCUACUGCAUUCACUGAGAAAAUGAAGUUAUUUUUGUACCUAGUGCCAACGGAACUCUCCAAGAUUGAGAGGUUUGCUAAUGGACUGCCUGCCAACUUUGGUCCGACAGUCAAGAUGGCAACUACUCUGAAAACAACUAUUCGUGCAGCUAAGAAUGUGGAGGCCCAGCUGAAGGAAAAGGGUCUGGAAAGGAUAGAUGUUGGUGAAAAGAGGAAGUUCGAUGGAACCUCAGGGUCCAACAAGAAAAACAAGUUCUCGAAGUCUAGUUCGAUAGGACGAGGAGGGGAAGCGAAAUGGUGCGACAAAUGUAAGAAGAAGCAUCAUGGAAAAUGUGAGGUAGUGGCCACGUGCUAUAAGUGUGGAAAGCCAUGGCACUAUGCCAAUGAAUGUACCCUCACUAAGAAAGUUUGUUAUGGUUGUGGUGAGGAGGGACACAUGUUGAGUGACUGCCCGAAGAAGAAGAAGGCAGCUAGACCCAACAUUCUGCCAAAGCCGAAGGCGAGAGCAUUCCAGAUGACACUGGAAGCUGCUAAAGAUGAAGCUGAUGUCGCUUCAGGUACCUUUCUCGUUAACAAAUUGCCUGCCCAAAUUUUAUUUGAUUCUGGAGCCAACUACUCCUUUAUAUCGCAUGAAUUUGGUAGAAAACUAGCUUUGCCUGUUGAUAGACUAGAUAAUGCUUUAUUAGUCGAAGUUGCUAGUGGCAAGUUUGUACCUGUUAGCCAUCGUAUGAAAAACAUCUUAAUUGAUUUGAAUGGGAAUAAGUUCCACGAGGAAUUAUUGCCUAUCGAACUUAACGGUUUCGACAUCGUUUUGGGAAUGGAUUGGCUUAGCGCCAAUGAUGCCGAAAUUUUAUGCAAGAAGAAAAUAGUGAAAGUGAACCCGCCUGGGAAGGAAUCGUUUAUGGUGUACGGAGAUAAACGCAGAGUAAAUUCUGGAAUCAUUUCUCUAAUGAAAGCCAGAAAAUGUUUGACCAAGGGGUGUACAUCAUACUUAGCAUUCGUGAUCGAUGCUAAGAAGGAAAAGAAGGUGAUGCAAAAUAUUCCUGUUGUGUGUGAUUAUCCGGAAGUAUUUCCCGAAGAUCUUCCUGGAUUACCGCCCGAUCGACAAGUAGAAUUUCGUAUCGACUUGUUGCCCGGAACAACGCCAAUUGCAAAAGCACCUUAUCGAUUAGCACCGACGGAGAUGAAGGAGCUGAUGAUGCAACUUCAGGAGUUAUUGGACAAAGGUUUCAUUAGACCUAGUUCAUCACCCUGGGGAGCUCCGGUGUUAUUCGUAAAGAAGAAAGAUGGAAGCAUGAGGAUGUGCAUUGAUUAUAGAGAGCUGAAUAAGGCAACAAUAAAGAAUAGAUAUCCGUUGCCGAGGAUUGAUGACCUAUUCGAUCAACUACAAGGUUCAAGUUAUUUUUCAAAGAUCGACCUGAGGUCAGGAUAUCAUCAGCUGAAAGUAAGAGAGCAGGAUAUAGAGAAGACUGCAUUCAGAACACGAUAUGGACACUACGAGUUUUUGGUUAUGUCGUUUGGACUAACCAAUGCUCCAGCAGCAUUCAUGGAUUUAAUGAACAGGGUUUGUAAUCCGUUCCUUGAUAAAUCUGUGAUAGUGUUCAUAGAUGACAUUCUGAUUUAUUCAAAGAGCCAAGAAGAGCAUGGCAGACACUUGCGAGAAGUGUUGGAAGUCUUGAAGAAGGAGAAGUUGUAUGCGAAGUUCUCCAAAUGUGAUUUUUGGAUUCGAGAAGUCCAAUUCUUGGGUCACGUGGUCAACCAAGAAGGUAUAAUGGUUGAUCCAGCAAAGAUUGAAGCUCUAAUGAAGUGGGAACAACCAAAAAGACCCACGGAGAUCCGAAGCUUUUUAGGAUUAGCCGGAUAUUACCGAAGGUUUAUCCAAGGCUUUUCUUCGAUCACUAGUCCAUUAACAGGUUUGACCCACAAAGGAGCUGCUUAUGCUUGGAGUGAUAAGCAUAAAGAAGCAUUCGAGAAGCUUAAGAAAAAGCUAUGUGAGGCACCGAUACUUUCUCUACCCGAUGGAGUUGAAGACUUCUCUAUUUAUAGCGAUGCGUAUGGGGUUGGAUUGGGUUAUGUUUUGACCCAAAGGGAUAAGGUGAUCGCAUAUGCGUCUCGACAAUUGAAAGAGCAUGAAAAGAACUACCCGACUCAUGAUUUGGAGUUGGCAGCGGUAGUUUUCGCUCUGAAAAUAUGGAGGCAUUACCUCUAUGGUAUGAAAUGCAAACUUUUCACUGAUCAUAAGAGUCUCCAAUAUCUCUUUAAUCAUAAAGAAUUGAAUAUGAGGCAACGACGCUGGCUAGAGUUACUUAAGGACUACGACUGUGAGAUACUUUACCACCCCGGUAAAGCUAAUGUUGUUGCUGAUGCACUAAGUCGGAAAGUCAAUCUUGAACGGAAAAGGCCAAGAGCGUUGAGAAUUAAAGUUGUCUCGACAAUUGUGGAAAGUAUAAAGAAAGCUCAAGAGGAAGCUUCUGAGAAGAAUGACCGAAAGGAGGAACGUUUGGGCAAAACGUUGGUGUUCGGUAUAAAUAGUCAUGGACUGAAGGUGUUCCAAGAUCGGAUUUGGAUACCUAAGACAGGAGGAAUUAGAGAUCUUCUGAUGGAAGAAGCUCACAAGACCAUGUACUCGAUUCAUCCCAGUAGCACUAAAAUGUAUAGGGACCUGAAACCCUACUACUGGUGGCCGACGAUGAAGCUUGAUGUUGCAAAGUAUGUGGUCGAGUGUGUGACUUGUGCGAGAGUCAAGACACAACAUCAGAAACUGUACGGGAGUUUAGAACAAUUGCCUGUGCCUAUGGGUAAGUAGGAAGACAUUGCGAUGGAUUUUGUCACUAAAAUGCCCAGAACAAAGAAUGGUCACGACAUGAUUUGGGUGGUCGUUGAUCA